Molecule: ribosomal RNA, 538 nt
Filed under: uncultured bacterium
Lineage: Bacteria
Description: bacterial SSU rRNA
Rfam family: Bacterial small subunit ribosomal RNA
Source: RNAcentral
AAUAGAUACCCCGGUAGUCCACGCCGUAAACGUUGGAUACUAGGUGUGGCGGUCUUACCAACGACUGCCGUGCCGAAGCUAACGCAUUAAGUAUCCCGCCUGGGGAGUACGGCCGCAAGGCUAAAACUCAAAGGAAUUGACGGGUCCCCGCACAAGCGGCGGAGCAUGCGGCUUAAUUCGAUGCAACCCGAAGAACCUUACCUGGGUUUGACAUCACGGGAAAAGCUGUAGAAAUACAGUGUCCAUUAGGGCCCGUGACAGGUGGUGCAUGGCUGUCGUCAGCUCGUGUCGUGAGAUGUUGGGUUAAGUCCCGCAACGAGCGCAACCCUUGUCCUAUGUUGCCAGCGGUUCGGCCGGGGACUCAUAGGAGACUGCCGGGGAUAACUCGGAGGAAGGUGAGGACGACGUCAAGUCAUCAUGCCCCUUAUAUCCAGGGCUGCACGCAUGCUACAAUGGCCGGUACAACGGGCAGCGAUCCCGCGAGGGUGAGCGAAUCCUAAAAAGCCGGUCCUAGUUCGGAUUGAAGUCUGCAACUCGA